RNAcentral lists this RNase P RNA (342 nucleotides) under fish gut metagenome. RNAcentral's name for it is "Bacterial RNase P class A". It matches the Rfam family "Bacterial RNase P class A". Rfam says of the family: Ribonuclease P (RNase P) is a ubiquitous endoribonuclease, found in archaea, bacteria and eukarya as well as chloroplasts and mitochondria. The record is from RNAcentral.
AGUCGGACAGGCCACCGCUGCGGUAAUACCGUGGAGGAAAGUCCGGGCUCCACAGGGCAGAACGCCGGGUAACGCCCGGGAGGGGUGACCCUCGGCCAGUGCAACAGAAAGCAAACCGCCGCAUUUGCGGUAAGGGUGAAACGGUGGGGUAAGAGCCCACCAGAUGGCAUGGUAACAUGCCAUGCUCGGUGUACCCCGUUCGGAGCAAGACCAAAUAGGGAAGGGGUUGGCCCGACCAUACCUUCCGGGUAGGUUGCUAGAGGGUGCGGGUAACCGUACCCCCAGAGGAAUGGUGGCCCCCGCUUCAGGGCGGCGACAGAACCCGGCUUAUCGUCCGGCUCU